GUUGUUGCGUUAAAAAGCUCGUAGUUGGAUCUCAGGUCCCGGCUCGCGGUUCACCUCGCGGUGCUUUACUGCCCGUCCGGACCUAACCCGCCGGUCUCCUCCCUUGGUGCCCUUCGCUGGGUGUCUCGGGUGGCCGGAAAGUUUACUUUGAAAAAAUUAGAGUGUUCAAAGCAGGCGCUUCCGCCUGGAUAAUGGUGCAUGGAAUAAUGGAAUAGGACCUCGGUUCUAUUGUGUUGGUUUUCGGAGCUCGAGGUAAUGAUUAAGAGGGACAGACGGGGGCAUUCGUAUUACGGUGUUAGAGGUGAAAUUCUUGGAUCGCCGUAAGACGAACUACUGCGAAAGCAUUUGCCAAGAAUGUUUUCAUUAAUCAAGAACGAAAGUCAGAGGUUCGAAGACGAUCAGAUACCGUCCUAGUUCUGACCAUAAACGAUGUCGACUGGAGAUCCGCCGGAGUUGUUUCACUGACCCGGCUGGCAUCCUCCGGGAAACCUUAAGUCUAUGGAUUCCGGGGGAAGUAUGGUUGCAAAGCUGAAACUUAAAGGAAUUGACGGAAGGGCACCACCAGGAGUGGAGCCUGCGGCUUAAUUUGACUCAACACGGGGAACCUCACCAGGCCAGGACACCGUAAGGAUUGACAGAUUGAUAGCUCUUUCUUGAUUCGGUGGGUGGUGGUGCAUGGCCGUUCUUAGUUGGUGGAGCGAUUUGUCUGGUUAAUUCCGAUAACGAACGAGACUCUAGCCUAUUAAAUAGUUCGCCGAUUCUUCUACGUGUCGGUGCCAACUUCUUAGAGGGACAAGUGGCGUUUA
Molecule: ribosomal RNA, 806 nt
Filed under: uncultured marine eukaryote
Lineage: Eukaryota
Description: SSU rRNA
Rfam family: Eukaryotic small subunit ribosomal RNA
Source: RNAcentral